AACAACUCAACUCAACUCUCUAUAUAUAAUACUCUAUUUUUAUUAAACAACAAACAACCAAUAUCUAUUUUUAAAAAUAACAACGAAGACAUAUCUUAAAUAAGGCUUAAUUUCUUGAGCGACUUCUUAAGCUUAGUCUUGAUCUAUUUCUUAAGCAUUAUCUUUUGAUUAAAAAAAAAGAUAAAAAUCAAACAUUAUAAAAAAAAAUUAAUCCAUACCUUAGAAAAAAUGAGAAGAAAAA
RNAcentral lists this long non-coding RNA (241 nucleotides) under Lathyrus oleraceus (garden pea). Its description in RNAcentral is "Pisum sativum (pea) long non-coding RNA (PSAT_LNC002660)". Lineage: Eukaryota; Viridiplantae; Streptophyta; Magnoliopsida; Fabales; Fabaceae. The record is from RNAcentral.